ACGAACGCUGGCGGCAUGCUUAACACAUGCAAGUUGAACGAACUAAAUAAGGGCUUGCUCUUAUUUAGUUAGUGGCAAACGGGUGAGUAACACGUGGGAAUCUGCCCAUCAGUACGGAAUAACUUUUGGAAACGAAAGAUAAUACCGUAUAUUCUCUUCGGAGGAAAGAUUUAUCGCUGAUGGAUGAGCCCGCGUUAGAUUAGGUAGUUGGUGGGGUAAUGGCCUACCAAGCCAAUGAUCUAUAGCUGAUCUGAGAGGAUGAUCAGCCACACUGGGACUGAGACACGGCCCAGACUCCUACGGGAGGCAGCAGUGGGGAAUAUUGGACAAUGGGCGAAAGCCUGAUCCAGCAAUGCCGCGUGAGUGAUGAAGGCCUAUUAGGUUGUAAAGCUCUUUGAGCAGGGAAGAUAAUGACGGUACCUGCAGAACAAGCCCCGGCUAACUACGU
This 448-nucleotide ribosomal RNA is filed under the name uncultured bacterium. Its description in RNAcentral is "bacterial SSU rRNA". It matches the Rfam family "Bacterial small subunit ribosomal RNA", at positions 29 to 506 of the family's 1533-position model. The record is from RNAcentral.